RNAcentral lists this ribosomal RNA (468 nucleotides) under uncultured bacterium. RNAcentral describes it as "partial 16S ribosomal RNA". It matches the Rfam family "Bacterial small subunit ribosomal RNA", at positions 28 to 507 of the family's 1533-position model. The record is from RNAcentral.
GACGAACGCUGGCGGCGUGCUUAACACAUGCAAGUCGAACGGAAAGGCCCUGCUUUUGUGGGGUGCUCGAGUGGCGAACGGGUGAGUAACACGUGAGUAACCUGCCCUUGACUUUGGGAUAACUUCAGGAAACUGGUGCUAAUACCGGAUAGGAGCUCCUGCUGCAGGGUGGGGGUUGGAAAGUUUCGGCGGUUGGGGAUGGACUCGGGGCUUAUCAGCUUGUUGGUGGGGUAGUGGCUUACCAAGGCUUUGGCGGGUAGCCGGCCUGGGAGGGUGACCGGCCACAUUGGGACUGAGAUACGGCCCAGACUCCUACGGGAGGCAGCAGUGGGGAAUAUUGCACAAUGGGCGGAAGCCUGAUGCAGAAACGCCGCGUGCGGGAUGACGGCCUUCGGGUUGUAAACCGCUUUCGCCUGUGACGAAGCGUGAGUGACGGUAAUGGGUAAAGAAGCACCGGCUAACUACGUG